This 2181-nucleotide ribosomal RNA is filed under the name Candidatus Magasanikiibacteriota bacterium. RNAcentral's name for it is "Candidatus Magasanikbacteria bacterium partial 23S ribosomal RNA". It matches the Rfam family "Bacterial large subunit ribosomal RNA", at positions 1832 to 2912 of the family's 2925-position model. The record is from RNAcentral. Lineage: Bacteria; Candidatus Magasanikiibacteriota.
CGAAAGGCACUGUAUAGGGGCUGAUGCCUGGCCAGUGUCAGAACGUUAAAGGGAGAGGUUGACUGGAUUUAUCUGGAAGGCUUUGAACUGAAGCGCUGAUGAACGCCGGCGAUAACUAUAAUCGUCCUAAGGUAGCGAAAUACCUUGUCGUGUGAGUUACGACGCGCACGAAUGGCAUAACGACUUGAAAACUCUCUCAACGAGGGACUCGGCGAAAUUGCAAGAGAGGUGAAGAUGCCUCUUACCCGCGGCUAGACGAAAAGANNNNNUCUGGGGCGGAUGCCUCCUAAAAUGUAACGGAGGCGUUUACAAAGGUGAGCUUGGCUCCGAUGGAAACGGAGCUGGACGUGCAAUGGCAUAAGCUCGCUUUACUGCAAGACCUACAAGUCGCGCAGUCCCGAAAGGGGAACAUAGUGAUCCGACGAUCCAAUNNAAACGAGCCCAAAACGGUGAAGGCCUUUAAUAUUUGUUUUGGAUUUGCGCACGACGCAGGUCCCAGGUAUAAUAGAAACAUAUGUUGAAGGUUAAUCCCGUGGGAAAGCAAUGUUCCGAAGCUGAAAAGGCAUAUGCGGCCGGAUUUCUUGAUGCUGAUGGCGCCAUUAUGGCGACUAUUGAAAAACAUCAAGAAAAGAAAUUUGGCUUUAGAGUACGAGUAACAGUGAAAGUCACACAAAGUCGGCGUGAAAUUUUGGAAUGGUUCCAAAAAAAAUUUCACGCAGGGCUGAUUAGAAAAAAUCGCACCACUUUUGANNUGGCAAAUUAGAGACCAGAAAGCGGCGAUCGAUUUUUUGGAAAUUUUGUUACCGUAUCUCAAAGUUAAAAAGCUGCAAGCGCAAAAAGCGUUGCGUAUUUUGCGACGAACAAUCAAAAGUUCAUCGCAAUUACGGCAAGUUGCCGAUUUGGCGGAUUCAUUAUCACAUUUGAAUGUGCGGUCGCAAGGCCGUCGCAAGAAUUUUGUGACAAUGAUCCAGGAAAAUUGCUCCCGUAACGACUGAACUUUCGAAUUUUUCGAAAGUGAGAUAGACGGUUCCUGUUGUUUUGGAAAUUAAACCGCUAUCAUACGGUUCGCACCUAAAGCAUGGUUGGUGACAAUCANNAGAACGUCGCGAGACAGUUCGGUCUCCUAUCUGUCGCGGGCGCGGAAAUUUGAGAAGGCUCGUCUCUAGUAGACCCAAAAGGGUCCAUGCUACUUUCUCGAGUAAUUGAGAAUGACAAUUCAGCUAAUAACGGUGAAGUCUUAACAGUGUUUAUGGUUAUAGCUCACUUUUUUUGCGCGGUCUAAAGAAAAGUGGUAUAAUGUAUUUGAGGACCAUAAAUUAUUGUUUAAGAUAAUACCGUGGGAAGUCGAUCUAAAAUUAAAAAAGAAGAAUUAGCGUACCUUGCCGGCUUUUUAGACGGCGACGGCAGUUUAAUGCUUCAAAUCAAAAAACGCAGUGAUUCAAAAAGAGGAUGGCGUUUAAUGGCAACGAUCUGUUUUUAUCAAGAUUCUCGCCAUGACAUGCCAUUAUAUUGGAUGCGAAAAAAAUUGAAAAUAGGUUAUAUUUCGCAUCGUAAUGAUGGAAUGACAGAAUUGAGAAUUAAUGGAUUUGAUCAAGUAAAAAAUGUGGUCGGUCUGUUAUUUCCUUAUCUGCGUUUUAAAAAGAAACAGGCGCGGGUUAUAAUAAAAGCUUGCGUGUUGUUAGCUAGGAAACCUCUGAAAUUGCUCUCCAAAAAAGAGCUCAAUAUGAUUUGUAAUUAUUUAGUGAUUAUUCAGAAAAAUAAUUAUGCAACUCAUUCAAAAAAGAGUUUAGAGGAAUUAAAAUUAAUUUUAGGUUUGACCCCGUAACGACUGAUUUCUUUAAUACGGAAUUAAAGAAUGAGAUAGAAGUUGUGUAAAUUUAGCUUAAAACUUCUAUAACACGCUGACUCCGCCAGCUGGCGGAUGAAGAUAUAGUCUACACUUCUAGUGAUAGAAGAAUUAUGUGACGAGAGGACCGAGACGAAAGAACCUCUGGUUGAUGAGUUGUGGUACCAACCGCAUUGCUCAGUAGCCAAGUUCGGCACGGAUAAACGCUGAAAGCAUCUAAGCGUGAAGCCGUCUUCAAGAUUAAAUUUCAUAGACACCCUAUAGAUUAUGGGGUUGAUAGGUGGUAGGUGUAAGAUCCGUAAGGAUUUAAGCCGAGCCAUACUAAUCAGUCGUUC